CCUACGGGAGGCAGCAGUGAGGAAUAUUGGUCAAUGGACGCAAGUCUGAACCAGCCAUGCCGCGUGCAGGAAGACGGCACUAUGAGUUGUAAACUGCUUUUGUACGAGGGUAAAGGCAGAUACGCGUAUCUGUCUGAAAGUAUCGUACGAAUAAGGAUCGGCUAACUCCGUGCAAGCAGCCGCGGUAAUACGGAGGAUUCAAGCGUUAUCCGGAUUUAUUGGGUUUAAAGGGUGCGUAGGCGGUCGGAUAAGUUAGAGGUGAAAUCCCGAGGCUCAACUUCGGAAUUGCCUCUGAUACUGUUCGGCUAGAGAGUAGUGGCGGUAGGCGGAAUGUAUGGUGUAGCGGUGAAAUGCUUAGAGAUCAUACAGAACACCGAUUGCGAAGGCAGCUUACCAAGCUACUUCUGACGUUGAGGCACGAAAGCGUGGGGAGCAAACAGGAUUAGAUACCCGAGUAGUC
Molecule: ribosomal RNA, 460 nt
Filed under: uncultured bacterium
Lineage: Bacteria
Description: partial 16S ribosomal RNA
Rfam family: Bacterial small subunit ribosomal RNA
Source: RNAcentral